Molecule: ribosomal RNA, 516 nt
Filed under: uncultured bacterium
Lineage: Bacteria
Description: bacterial SSU rRNA
Rfam family: Bacterial small subunit ribosomal RNA
Source: RNAcentral
AGGGUUCGAUUCUGGCUCAGGAUGAACGCUAGCGACAGGCUUAACACAUGCAAGUCGAGGGCAGCAUAGAAGUAGCAAUACUUGGUGGCGACCGGCGCACGGGUGAGUAACGCGUAUGCAACCUACCUAUCAGAGGGGAAUAACCCGGCGAAAGUCGGACUAAUACCGCAUAAAACAGGGGCACCGCAUGGUGAUAUUCGUUAAAGAAAUUCGCUGAUAGAUGGGCAUGCGUUCCAUUAGGUAGUUGGUGAGGUAACGGCUCACCAAGCCGACGAUGGAUAGGGGAACUGAGAGGUUGGUCCCCCACACUGGUACUGAGACACGGACCAGACUCCUACGGGAGGCAGCAGUGAGGAAUAUUGGUCAAUGGGCGGGAGCCUGAACCAGCCAAGUCGCGUGAAGGAAGAAGGAUCUAUGGUUCGUAAACUUCUUUUGCAGGGGAAUAAAGUGCAGGACGUGUCCUGUUUUGUAUGUACCCUGAGAAUAAGGAUCGGCUAACUCCGUGCCAGCAGCAGC